GACGAACGCUGGCGGCGUGCUUAACACAUGCAAGUCGAACGAAGAGCGAUGGAAGCUUGCUUCUCUCAAUCUUAGUGGCGAACGGGUGAGUAACGCGUAAUCAACCUGCCCUUCAGAGGGGGACAACAGUUGGAAACGACUGCUAAUACCGCAUACGAUCUAACCUCGGCAUCGAGGAUGGAUGAAAGGUGGCCUCUAUUUAUAAGCUAUCACUGAAGGAGGGGAUUGCGUCUGAUUAGCUAGUUGGAGGGGUAACGGCCCACCAAGGCGAUGAUCAGUAGCCGGUCUGAGAGGAUGAACGGCCACAUUGGGACUGAGACACGGCCCAGACUCCUACGGGAGGCAGCAGUGGGGAAUCUUCCGCAAUGGACGAAAGUCUGACGGAGCAACGCCGCGUGAGUGAUGACGGCCGUCGGGUUGUAAAGCUCUGUUAAUCGGGACGAAAGGCCUUCUUGCGAAUAGUUAGAAGGAUUGACGGUACCGGAAUAGAAAGCCACGGCUAACUACGUA
RNAcentral lists this ribosomal RNA (510 nucleotides) under uncultured bacterium. RNAcentral describes it as "partial 16S ribosomal RNA". It matches the Rfam family "Bacterial small subunit ribosomal RNA", at positions 28 to 507 of the family's 1533-position model. The record is from RNAcentral.